AAUAGAUACCCCGGUAGUCCACGCCGUAAACGAUGAGUGCUAAGUGUUAGGGGGUUUCCGCCCCUUAGUGCUGCAGCUAACGCAUUAAGCACUCCGCCUGGGGAGUACGGUCGCAAGACUGAAACUCAAAGGAAUUGACGGGGGCCCGCACAAGCGGUGGAGCAUGUGGUUUAAUUCGAAGCAACGCGAAGAACCUUACCAGGUCUUGACAUCCCAUUGACCACUAUGGAGACAUAGUUUUCCCUUCGGGGACAACGGUGACAGGUGGUGCAUGGUUGUCGUCAGCUCGUGUCGUGAGAUGUUGGGUUAAGUCCCGCAACGAGCGCAACCCUUGUUCUUAGUUGCCAUCAUUUAGUUGGGCACUCUAAGGAGACUGCCGGUGACAAACCGGAGGAAGGUGGGGAUGACGUCAAAUCAUCAUGCCCCUUAUGACCUGGGCUACACACGUGCUACAAUGGACGGUACAAACGGUUGCCAACCCGCGAGGGGGAGCUAAUCCGAUAAAACCGUUCUCAGUUCGGAUUGUAGGCUGCAACUCGCUACAUGAAGCC
RNAcentral lists this ribosomal RNA (551 nucleotides) under uncultured bacterium. Its description in RNAcentral is "bacterial SSU rRNA". It matches the Rfam family "Bacterial small subunit ribosomal RNA", at positions 777 to 1327 of the family's 1533-position model. The record is from RNAcentral.